RNAcentral lists this ribosomal RNA (2932 nucleotides) under Enterobacter hormaechei subsp. steigerwaltii. RNAcentral's name for it is "bacterial LSU rRNA". It matches the Rfam family "Bacterial large subunit ribosomal RNA". Lineage: Bacteria; Pseudomonadati; Pseudomonadota; Gammaproteobacteria; Enterobacterales; Enterobacteriaceae. The record is from RNAcentral.
GGGUUGUGAGGUUAAGCGACUAAGCGUACACGGUGGAUGCCCUGGCAGUCAGAGGCGAUGAAGGACGUGCUAAUCUGCGAAAAGCGCCGGCGAGGUGAUAUGAACCCUUGACCCGGCGAUGUCCGAAUGGGGAAACCCAGUGCAAUUCGUUGCACUAUCGUUAACUGAAUACAUAGGUUAACGAGGCGAACCGGGGGAACUGAAACAUCUAAGUACCCCGAGGAAAAGAAAUCAACCGAGAUUCCCCCAGUAGCGGCGAGCGAACGGGGAGCAGCCCGGAGUCUGAAUCAGCUUGUGUGUUAGUGGAACGGUCUGGAAAGUCCGACGGUACAGGGUGAUAGUCCCGUACACGAAAGCACACAUGCUGUGAACUCGAAGAGUAGGGCGGGACACGUGGUAUCCUGUCUGAAUAUGGGGGGACCAUCCUCCAAGGCUAAAUACUCCUGACUGACCGAUAGUGAACCAGUACCGUGAGGGAAAGGCGAAAAGAACCCCGGCGAGGGGAGUGAAAAAGAACCUGAAACCGUGUACGUACAAGCAGUGGGAGCCUCUUUAUGGGGUGACUGCGUACCUUUUGUAUAAUGGGUCAGCGACUUAUAUUCUGUAGCAAGGUUAACCGUAUAGGGGAGCCGAAGGGAAACCGAGUCUUAACUGGGCGUUAAGUUGCAGGGUAUAGACCCGAAACCCGGUGAUCUAGCCAUGGGCAGGUUGAAGGUUGGGUAACACUAACUGGAGGACCGAACCGACUAAUGUUGAAAAAUUAGCGGAUGACCUGUGGCUGGGGGUGAAAGGCCAAUCAAACCGGGAGAUAGCUGGUUCUCCCCGAAAGCUAUUUAGGUAGCGCCUCGUGAACUCAUCUUCGGGGGUAGAGCACUGUUUCGGCUAGGGGGCCAUCCCGGCUUACCAACCCGAUGCAAACUACGAAUACCGAAGAAUGUUAUCACGGGAGACACACGGCGGGUGCUAACGUCCGUCGUGAAGAGGGAAACAACCCAGACCGCCAGCUAAGGUCCCAAAGUCAUGGUUAAGUGGGAAACGAUGUGGGAAGGCACAGACAGCCAGGAUGUUGGCUUAGAAGCAGCCAUCAUUUAAAGAAAGCGUAAUAGCUCACUGGUCGAGUCGGCCUGCGCGGAAGAUGUAACGGGGCUAAACCAUGCACCGAAGCUGCGGCAGCGACACUAUGUGUUGUUGGGUAGGGGAGCGUUCUGUAAGCCGUUGAAGGUGUGCUGUGAGGCAUGCUGGAGGUAUCAGAAGUGCGAAUGCUGACAUAAGUAACGAUAAAGCGGGUGAAAAGCCCGCUCGCCGGAAGACCAAGGGUUCCUGUCCAACGUUAAUCGGGGCAGGGUGAGUCGACCCCUAAGGCGAGGCCGAAAGGCGUAGUCGAUGGGAAACAGGUUAAUAUUCCUGUACUUGGUGUUACUGCGAAGGGGGGACGGAGAAGGCUAUGUCAGCCGGGCGACGGUUGUCCCGGUUUAAGCAUGUAGGCGGAGGUUCCAGGUAAAUCCGGUACCUUAUUAACGCUGAGGUGUGAUGACGAGGCACUACGGUGCUGAAGUGAUAAAUGCCCUGCUUCCAGGAAAAGCCUCUAAGCAUCAGGUAACACGAAAUCGUACCCCAAACCGACACAGGUGGUCAGGUAGAGAAUACCAAGGCGCUUGAGAGAACUCGGGUGAAGGAACUAGGCAAAAUGGUGCCGUAACUUCGGGAGAAGGCACGCUGAUGUGUAGGUGAAGCCCCUGCGGGCGGAGCUGAAAUCAGUCGAAGAUACCAGCUGGCUGCAACUGUUUAUUAAAAACACAGCACUGUGCAAACACGAAAGUGGACGUAUACGGUGUGACGCCUGCCCGGUGCCGGAAGGUUAAUUGAUGGGGUUAGCGGCAACGCGAAGCUCUUGAUCGAAGCCCCGGUAAACGGCGGCCGUAACUAUAACGGUCCUAAGGUAGCGAAAUUCCUUGUCGGGUAAGUUCCGACCUGCACGAAUGGCGUAAUGAUGGCCAGGCUGUCUCCACCCGAGACUCAGUGAAAUUGAACUCGCUGUGAAGAUGCAGUGUACCCGCGGCAAGACGGAAAGACCCCGUGAACCUUUACUAUAGCUUGACACUGAACACUGGUCCUUGAUGUGUAGGAUAGGUGGGAGGCUUUGAAGCGUGGACGCCAGUCUGCGUGGAGCCAACCUUGAAAUACCACCCUUUAAUGGCUGGUGUUCUAACGUAGACCCGUAAUCCGGGUUGCGGACAGUGUCUGGUGGGUAGUUUGACUGGGGCGGUCUCCUCCCAAAGAGUAACGGAGGAGCACGAAGGUUGGCUAAUCCUGGUCGGACAUCAGGAGGUUAGUGCAAUGGCAUAAGCCAGCUUGACUGCGAGCGUGACGGCGCGAGCAGGUGCGAAAGCAGGUCAUAGUGAUCCGGUGGUUCUGAAUGGAAGGGCCAUCGCUCAACGGAUAAAAGGUACUCCGGGGAUAACAGGCUGAUACCGCCCAAGAGUUCAUAUCGACGGCGGUGUUUGGCACCUCGAUGUCGGCUCAUCACAUCCUGGGGCUGAAGUAGGUCCCAAGGGUAUGGCUGUUCGCCAUUUAAAGUGGUACGCGAGCUGGGUUUAGAACGUCGUGAGACAGUUCGGUCCCUAUCUGCCGUGGGCGCUGGAGAAUUGAGGGGGGCUGCUCCUAGUACGAGAGGACCGGAGUGGACGCAUCACUGGUGUUCGGGUUGUCAUGCCAAUGGCACUGCCCGGUAGCUAAAUGCGGAAGAGAUAAGUGCUGAAAGCAUCUAAGCACGAAACUUGCCCCGAGAUGAGUUCUCCCUGAGACCUUGAGUCUCCUGAAGGAACGUUGAAGACGACGACGUUGAUAGGUCGGGUGUGUAAGCGCAGCGAUGCGUUGAGCUAACCGAUACUAAUGAACCGUGAGGCUUAACCUUACAACGCCGAAGGUGUUU